This 551-nucleotide long non-coding RNA is filed under the name Anas platyrhynchos platyrhynchos (common mallard). RNAcentral's name for it is "lncRNA (ENSAPLG00000026203.1)". The record is from RNAcentral. Lineage: Eukaryota; Metazoa; Chordata; Aves; Anseriformes; Anatidae.
AUCGAUUUCGUGUUGUUUUCCAGAACAGCCUGCAUCAUAAAGACUAAAAGGCAGUUAUAGAUGUUCUAAAGUCAAAGACGCUUGUUCAGCCCUACAGAAAGCUGACGUUAAGGAUGUACCACGCUGAUACUGAUCUCAGUGCUCAAAACAUGAUGUUUGUUUCCUAUCCCAGGUCCAGGAAAUUGAUGCUUUGAGGACAGAGAAUAGGAAGCUUAAAAACGCGAACUCCAGGCUGCGAUAUAAAACAAAAGAUUGGGCGAUAAGGAGAGAAGAAUAUAAAAAUGAGAUCGAGAGACUUUCUGGCGAGAUCUCCAACUACUUAAAUGUCACCAACUUCUGGGAUGAAGAGUCUGAGCAACUGAACGGCCCAGAUAAGAGAACGCCACGGGACCAGACCAAACAUGCGAGCACUCAGACAGAGGGCGCCUGCGGAGCGGAGGAGAGGUAAGGGCUGGGAAAAAGGUGCUGGAGCAGGGCUGCCGUGGCGCUGUCCUGGCCCUACAAAACUCAGCAGCUUCUUGGUCAUAAGCCCUACAUCUCUUGGGACAUGA